RNAcentral lists this long non-coding RNA (619 nucleotides) under Ricinus communis (castor bean). Its description in RNAcentral is "long non-coding RNA (RCOM_LNC000377)". The record is from RNAcentral. Lineage: Eukaryota; Viridiplantae; Streptophyta; Magnoliopsida; Malpighiales; Euphorbiaceae.
CCACUUCUUUAUUUUAUUCUUGAAAAAUCUUAUUUAUACACGUAAGCAAUGAUGAAUGUGGACAGCAAUGUGACGCAAGAGGGUCUUUCAUUUUUCAAAACUCUAAUUAACCCCUUCAAGUCUUGCCUUAGACCUGUGCUGCCAUUCUAGACCAUUUGCCUUUGGCUUCCAAAAUCACGGAGCCUUUGGUUCCUUUGACAAUUUCUUUUAAUCAGCUUUAGCUUGUAAUCUGGUGUGGAUAUCAAUUAUGAGAUAGACCACAUACAUGGGACUUGAUCCAGCAUGUGAAAUUACGAACGUACUGUUGCCACCAAUAACUAUGCAGUAAAUAUAUAUAUAAAUGUGUAUGUGUAUUCACGAGCUCAAAACGAAUGGGUUGCGUUAAUUUACAUACCAUAUAUAGUGAAGAAGAGAAGAAGUAUGGCGUGCUAGUCAUGUCUGUUCCUCAAGUGCUAGUUAGGUAGCCCACUAGAGAGAAAAGUCCUUCCUUGGAAGGGAACGCCCCGCACAAACUAUACUGCAUACAUACAUACAUAUAUAAAUUGCAAGGAAAAGAAAAAAUAAAAUGUAAUAUUGCAAGUUUGUUAAAUCAUGUCAAGUUGAAUCCCCAAUUUUCUUC